GACGAACGCUGGCGGCGUGCUUAACACAUGCAAGUCGAACGGAAAGGCCCUGCUUUUGUGGGGUGCUCGAGUGGCGAACGGGUGAGUAACACGUGAGUAACCUGCUCUUGACUUUGGGAUAACUUCAGGUAACUGGGGCUAAUACCGGAUAGGAUCUCCUGCUGCAUGGUGGGGGUUGGAAAGUUUCGGCGGGUGGGGAUGGACUCGCGGCUUAUCGGCUUGUUGGUGGGGUAGUGGCUUACCAAGGCUGUGACGGGUAGCCGGCCGGGGAGGGUGACCGGCCACAUUGGGCCUGAGAUACGGCCCAGACUCCUACGGGAGGCAGCAGUGGGGAAUAUUGCCCAGUGGGCGGAAGCCUGAUGCAGCAACGCCGCGUGCGGGAUGACGGCCUUCGGGUUGUAAACCGCUUUCGCCUGUGACGAAGCGUGAGUGACGGUAAUGGGUAAAGAAGCACCGGCUAACUACGUG
This 468-nucleotide ribosomal RNA is filed under the name uncultured bacterium. RNAcentral describes it as "partial 16S ribosomal RNA". It matches the Rfam family "Bacterial small subunit ribosomal RNA", at positions 28 to 507 of the family's 1533-position model. The record is from RNAcentral.